This is a long non-coding RNA of Cydia splendana, 1905 nucleotides long. RefSeq lists it as uncharacterized. The record is from RefSeq and is a predicted model, not a curated record. Lineage: Eukaryota; Metazoa; Arthropoda; Insecta; Lepidoptera; Tortricidae. The transcript is spliced from 2 exons.
AAAAGGUAAUCACGGUUCAUAUCCCGGUCGAUAUAAGUCUAGUGAAACUAACCGUGAAUCAUUCAAAACUGUUACAAUGUCAAUUUCAUGUCAUCUCUCAUUUUUAGUGAUACAUAACAACUUUUAUGAUUAGUGGACCCAUUCAUAAUGGUCUAUAUGAUAUUUUUUAAGUAGUAACAAUUUUCAAGAGGCAUAAUACAAAUAAAAUCAACGAGGUUUAUUUAAGAAAAUUCUCGGGCAAAAGGUACCACUUUUAAAAGGAGCUAUUUACAGUUUAACAGAUAAAGUGGUACCUUUUGCUUGAGAGUGACAUGAAUAAUGAAUUGAGUCGGACCAAGCUAACUCUGCAGGCCAUUUGUAAUGACAAAUGACAAUGUCAUUAUUAAUGUCAGAUUUCUAUGUAAAUAUGAUUUUAUAAUGACACUCAUACUUUUGUUAUAUUGAUAUCGGUGCAUAGUUAGCUUAGAUGAACUCUAUGCAUGAAUAUAUUUCUAAUUUUUGAACUUAUAAAUUAAAAACAGAUUUUUUUUUAUUAUGACAUUAAAAAUUAUAAAAUUUAUUUAUAUUGCUAUAUUAUCUUCCAUGCCUUCAUAGCCAAUCUGUUUUUGUUGAAACUAAUUUUUGAUUAUGUCCUUCUCGAUUCGCAUAAACUGUGUUAUAAUGUACAGCCGCGUUCAAUAAUAACUACACGACGUAGCGCGCAAAAAUAUAUAUGACAAACUUUACUAGCUAUACUUAUAUAAAAAAAAUUUAGACUAAAGUUUUUGGUUUUUCCAAUCAAAAACAAAUAUAUACCAAUUAAUCCAGCUUUCAAGAUAAAGCACAUUUCUCGAAAGUCCAAGCUAAUUUGAACCUUAAAUCGGAAUGCUAAAGUUGAAUUUCCAUUGGCGCGUGUGUGGUCAAUAAAUCGUACUAUGCCUGGAAAAGGGUUAAGUGACACAUGAACUUAAUAUAGUUCGUUUUUUUCAGCAUUAGAAAUAAGGUAAACAAUCUUGAUGUGUCUUUUAAUUGAAAAACACAUUUUAAAAAUAAGUUACGGCAAAUAUGUAACAAUUAUGAAUCUAAUACAAUCAUUUAUAUUCUUCUGCUUUCAUAAGUAAUAAUUACUGAUUUUAAGAAGCGUUUUUCAAUUAAAAGACAUGUCAGAUCGCUUACCUUCUUUCAAGUUCUUUCUAAUGCCAAAAAAAACGAACUAUAGCUGCCGCCAUACAAUCGAAAUUUACAUAAGUACAAAACUUCUACUCGUAACUAGUACAACGUAAACUGGUACAGUCGGACGUCAAAGAUGUUUACAUUUUUCGCCGUUUUACAAAAAAGUAAGGAGUAAAGUGCAAAAGUGUAAAGAUAUCUUUGACAUCGACUAUACCAGACAUAUAUAUAAUAAGUAUGUUACAUAAAUGUUCAUAAUUUACAAGUUCCAUCUAAUUUAAGAAUGUCCUUUUAAAAUGAGACGGUUAAUAUUCGAUUGUAUGGAAGCAGCAUUUUGAUGGCUGGUGACUUUGAAGUCAUAUAUAUUUUUUCACGCUUCGUUUUGUUCUUAUAAAAACUGAAUUGUAAAAAAUAUACAGGGUGUAACGUUUAGCCCUUCAUCCGUCGGAUUUAGUGAACAAACUUUUGCCAUCGUAUUUUCACGGAAACGCACGAACGUGUUAUGCUAUAGGCAGUCUCAGAACAAAUAAAUACUGAGGUAGACUGAACCACUACUGAGGUAGGAUGACUCAAUACUUCAGUCAACCUCAGUGUUUAUUUGUACUGAGACUGACUGAAAUAGCAUAACACGUUCGUGCGUUUCCGUGAAAAUACGAUGGUAAAGUAUUAUUCACUAAAUCUGUAUGUAUCUACAUCCUACACCCAUAACUGUCGUUAUGUAAAAAUACAUAAAGUAAAGAGUUUAAGAAAUGAAAA